Long non-coding RNA from Arachis stenosperma, 1587 nucleotides. RefSeq lists it as uncharacterized. The record is from RefSeq and is a predicted model, not a curated record. Lineage: Eukaryota; Viridiplantae; Streptophyta; Magnoliopsida; Fabales; Fabaceae. The transcript is spliced from 8 exons.
GUUUCUGCGGCCCUAAAUCGCUCAACUGGUUCAUCAGGAACACGUGACCAUGAUUCACCAGAUGAUAAAUCCAAAUGGGAAUGCAUGAGGAAAGGGGUUUGCUGCAUUUGCUGCGAAAGCAAUAUUGAUUCUCUCUUGUACAGAUGUGGGCACAUGUGCACAUGUUCUAACUGUGCUAAUGAUUUGCAUCGAAGUGGAAGGAAGUGUCCAAUGUGUCAAGCACCAGUUGUUGAAGAAAAAAUAGAAAAUGAGAGAAGAUUCUAGUGAUUUUGUUUGGAGGGAAAUCUAGUGGAACCCUAUGGAAAAUGCACUGUGGCAUUUAGUCUUGCAUGGUCAUCUCCAAAAGUAAAGUUCUCAAAAGGCAGCACUUUUCAUAGGAGAUACACAAAAUUUUAUGGGACUUCUGAGAGAGCUGCAAAGGACUUGGCCCAUGAUGCAUUAACUCAAUACAAACGAUGGGAAGAAGACAUUGAGAAAUGGCAAAAUCCUAUUCUUCAGGAUGAGUCACUACCAGAAUGGUACAAGUUCACAUUGUUUAAUGAACUCUACUUUCUUGUUGCUGGAGGAACAAUUUGGAUUGAUCUUCAAAUAUGAGGAAUAAAAGCCGGGAUCAGGUAAAAGAAUUGGAAAAUACAGAAGUCAAAGUGACUGAAGCCAAAGUGAGUCGUAGACAAGGUGCAGAUGCUGGGCGUACAACAGAGAGCACCUAUGAUGUUUGAGUAUACAACAGAUAGUGCCAGUGACGUUGAUUGCAUGGUAGAUGGCGUGGAUGAAAAACAUCGUGGUGAUCUCUCCCAAGAAAGUGAUGCUAGUGUUACUCUGGCAAUGAUGUUGGAAGGUUUCUGUACUUGGAAGGUGUUGAAUAUAUCAUGUGGUGCACAUAUGAUGUGCACUUCUAUGCUUCGUUUGCCCUUCUUGAGCUCUUUCCAAGGAUUGAAUUAAAUAUACAGCGUGACUUCGCUAAAGCUGUAUUAUGUGAAGAUGGAAGAAAAGUGAAGUUUCUGGCAGAGGGCAACUGCGGAAUUCAUAAGGUUAGAGGGGCUGUGCCUCAUGAUCUUGGGUCACACGAUCCAUGGCGUGAAAUGAAUGCUUAUAACAUUCAUGAUACUAGCAAGUGGAAGGACCUGAACCCCAAAUUUGCACUUCAGGUUUAUCGAGAUUUUGCUACAACAGGGGACAUGUCCUUUGGAGUUGAUGUGUGGCCUGCUGUACAAUUCUGUGGCUUCAUUCUUGCUGUUUAAAUUGAUAAUUAGUUGAAUUCAUCAAAUCAUACAUUUGAUUAGUCUCUCAAAUUGGGGUGAUGCAACUUCUUCUCUUUUGUCUAAAGAAAUGAAAUGAACUAAUUCACCUGGUUUGGUAUAAUGCAGGUACUGGUUUCAGACACCAAAGGCAUGGACAAUGGUUGGACUUAGUGUCUUGGAAGAAGAAAUAAGAACAUUUUACUUGUAAUUUUAUAGCAUGUUAGUUUUGACUUUUGAACAAUGUAGGUCACCUUUGCAUAAUUGCAUGUAACGUGAACAUUCUUAUUUAUUUUUCCAAGAUAUAUUCUGACUUUACCACAAUUAACUUUAUAAAAUAUCAAUAACA